UAACGCGUAAAGAACUUGCCUCACAGUAGGGAACAACAUUUAGAAACGAAUGCUAAUACCUGAUAUUAUGUAGUUUUAGGGCAUCCUAAGAAUUAUGAAAGCUAUAUGCGCUGUGAGAGAGCUUUGCGUCCCAUUAGUUAGUUGGAGAGGUAACGGCUCACCAAGGCGAUGAUGGGUAGCCGGCCUGAGAGGGUGAUCGGCCACAAGGGGACUGAGACACGGCCCUU
This 227-nucleotide ribosomal RNA is filed under the name uncultured bacterium. RNAcentral's name for it is "partial 16S ribosomal RNA". It matches the Rfam family "Bacterial small subunit ribosomal RNA", at positions 111 to 334 of the family's 1533-position model. The record is from RNAcentral.